UACACUCCUGCGGGAGGCAGCAGUGGGGAAUUUUGGACAAUGGGGGCAACCCUGAUCCAGCAAUGCCGCGUGAGUGAAGAAGGCCUUCGGGUUGUAAAGCUCUUUUGUCGGGGAAGAAACGGUGGUGGCGAAUAACUACUACUAAUGACGGUACCUGAAGAAUAAGCACCGGCUAACUACGUGCCGGCAGCCGCGGUAAUACGUAGGGUGCAAGCGUUAAUCGGAAUUACUGGGCGUAAAGCGUGCGCAGGCGGUUGUGUAAGUCAGAUGUGAAAUCCCCGGGCUCAACCUGGGAAUUGCAUUUGAGACUGCACGGCUAGAGUGUGUCAGAGGGGGGUAGAAUUCCACGUGUAGCAGUGAAAUGCGUAGAUAUGUGGAGGAAUACCGAUGGCGAAGGCAGCCCCCUGGGAUAACACUGACGCUCAUGCACGAAAGCGUGGGGAGCAAACAGGAUUAGAUACCCUAGUAGUCC
Molecule: ribosomal RNA, 472 nt
Filed under: uncultured organism
Description: partial 16S ribosomal RNA
Rfam family: Bacterial small subunit ribosomal RNA
Source: RNAcentral